Molecule: ribosomal RNA, 253 nt
Filed under: uncultured bacterium
Lineage: Bacteria
Description: partial 16S ribosomal RNA
Rfam family: Bacterial small subunit ribosomal RNA
Source: RNAcentral
UACGAAGGGGGCUAGCGUUGCUCGGAAUCACUGGGCGUAAAGCGCACGUAGGCGGAUUGUUAAGUCAGGGGUGAAAUCCUGGAGCUCAACCCUGGAACUGCCUUUGAUACUGUCGAUCUGGAGUAUGGAAGAGGUGAGUGGAAUUCCGAGUGUAGAGGUGAAAUUCGUAGAUAUUCGGAGGAACACCAGUGGCGAAGGCGGCUCACUGGUCCAUUACUGACGCUGAGGUGCGAAAGCGUGGGGAGCAAACAGG